CAAUAGCGUAUAUUAAAGUUGUUGCAGUUAAAAAGCUCGUAGUUGGAUUUGUGGUUCGUCCCGCCGGCUGGGUCAUUGACUUUUGCUGUGCUGGUCGUCCAUCCUUGGGUGGAAUCUGUGUGGCAUUAGGUUGUCGCGCAGGGGAUGCCCAUCGUUUACUGUGAAAAAAUUAGAGUGUUCAAAGCAGGCUUAUGCCGUUGAAUAUAUUAGCAUGGAAUAAUGAUAUAGGACCUUGGUACUAUUUUGUUGGUUUGCGCAUCGAGGUAAUGAUUAAUAGGGACAGUUGGGGGUAUUCGUAUUCCAUUGUAAGAGGUGAAAUUCUUGGAUUUUUGGAAGACGAACUACUGCGAAAGCAUUUACCAAGGAUGUUUUCAUUA
Molecule: ribosomal RNA, 377 nt
Filed under: uncultured eukaryote
Lineage: Eukaryota
Description: partial 18S ribosomal RNA
Rfam family: Eukaryotic small subunit ribosomal RNA
Source: RNAcentral